CAGGGGUAUAGCUCAACUGGCAGAGCCUCGGUCUCCAAAACCGAAGGUUGGGGGUUCGAUUCCCUCUGCCCCUGCCCA
RNAcentral lists this transfer RNA (78 nucleotides) under Burkholderia gladioli. Its description in RNAcentral is "tRNA-Trp". It matches the Rfam family "tRNA". Rfam says of the family: Transfer RNA (tRNA) molecules are approximately 80 nucleotides in length. The record is from RNAcentral. Lineage: Bacteria; Pseudomonadati; Pseudomonadota; Betaproteobacteria; Burkholderiales; Burkholderiaceae.